Molecule: ribosomal RNA, 465 nt
Filed under: uncultured bacterium
Lineage: Bacteria
Description: partial 16S ribosomal RNA
Rfam family: Bacterial small subunit ribosomal RNA
Source: RNAcentral
GACGAACGCUGGCGGCGUGCUUAACACAUGCAAGUCGAACGGAAAGGCCCUGCUUGCAGGGUGCUCGAGUGGCGAACGGGAGAGUAACACGAUGGUGAUCUGCCCCGCACUUCUGGAUAAUCCUGGGAAACUUGAUCUAAUAGCGGAUAGGAGCCAGUGUUAGUAUGUUGGUUGGCAAGUUUUUUGGGUGUAGGGUGAGCUCGCGGCCUAACAGCUUGUUGGUCGGGUAAUGGCCGAACAAGGCGGCGACGGGUAGCAGGCCUGAGAGGGUGGACGGCCAGAGUGAGGAUGAGAUAAGGCCCAGAAUCCGACGGGAGGCAGGAGGGGGGGAUAUUGAACAAUGGGCGCAAGCCCGAUGCAGACACGCCGCGUGGGGGAUGACGGCCUUCGGGUUGUAAACUCCUUUCGCUAGGGAGGAAGCUUUUUGUGACGGUACCUAGAUAAGAAGCACCGGCUAACUACGUG